UUCGUAGGCGGUGUGGCAAGUUGGGAGUGAAAUCUCUGGGCUUAACUCAGGGGCUGCUUCCGAAACUGCUGUGCUAGAGUGUGGGAGAGGCGCGUGGAAUUGCAGGUGUAGCGGUGAAAUGCGUAGAUAUCUGCAGGAACACCCGUGGCGAAAGCGGCGCGCUGGACCACUACUGACGCUGAGGAACGAAAGCUAGGGGAGCAAACA
This 207-nucleotide ribosomal RNA is filed under the name uncultured bacterium. RNAcentral describes it as "partial 16S ribosomal RNA". It matches the Rfam family "Bacterial small subunit ribosomal RNA", at positions 568 to 774 of the family's 1533-position model. The record is from RNAcentral.